RNAcentral lists this ribosomal RNA (344 nucleotides) under uncultured eukaryote. Its description in RNAcentral is "SSU rRNA". It matches the Rfam family "Eukaryotic small subunit ribosomal RNA", at positions 567 to 918 of the family's 1831-position model. The record is from RNAcentral.
CCAGCAGCCGCGGUAAUUCCAGCUCCAAUAGCGUAUAUUAAAGUUGUUGCAGUUAAAAAGCUCGUAGUUGGAUUUCUGGCUGCGCGGUGCGGUCCGCCAUAGGUGAGUACCGUACUGCGCGGCCUUCCUUCUCGAGGACCAUGCGUGUCCUUAACUGGGUGUGCAUGGGACUCGGGACCUUUACUUUGAAAAAAUUAGAGUGUUCAAAGCAGGCUAACGCUUGAAUACAUUAGCAUGGAAUAAUAGAAUAGGACUUUGGUUCUAUUUUGUUGGUUUCUAGGACCGAAGUAAUGAUUAAUAGGGACAGUUGGGGGCAUUAGUAUUUAAUUGUCAGAGGUGAAAUU